RNAcentral lists this ribosomal RNA (159 nucleotides) under uncultured Pseudomonas sp. RNAcentral describes it as "partial 16S ribosomal RNA". It matches the Rfam family "Bacterial small subunit ribosomal RNA", at positions 356 to 507 of the family's 1533-position model. Lineage: Bacteria; Pseudomonadati; Pseudomonadota; Gammaproteobacteria; Pseudomonadales; Pseudomonadaceae. The record is from RNAcentral.
GGGGAAUAUUGGACAAUGGGCGAAAGCCUGAUCCAGCCAUGCCGCGUGUGUGAAGAAGGUCUUCGGAUUGUAAAGCACUUUAAGUUGGGAGGAAGGGCAGUAAAUUAAUACUUUGCUGUUUUGACGUUACCGACAGAAUAAGCACCGGCUAACUCUGUG